This 496-nucleotide ribosomal RNA is filed under the name uncultured bacterium. Its description in RNAcentral is "partial 16S ribosomal RNA". It matches the Rfam family "Bacterial small subunit ribosomal RNA", at positions 28 to 507 of the family's 1533-position model. The record is from RNAcentral.
GAUGAACGCUGGCGGCGUGCCUAAUACAUGCAAGUCGAGCGAACGGACGAGAAGCUUGCUUCUCUGAUGUUAGCGGCGGACGGGUGAGUAACACGUGGAUAACCUACCUAUAAGACUGGGAUACUUCGGGAAACCGGAGCUAAUACCGGAUAAUAUUUUGAACCGCAUGGUUCAAAAGUAAAAGACGGUCUUGCUGUCACUUAUAGAUGGAUCCGCGCUGCAUUAGCUAGUUGGUAAGGUAACGGCUUACCAAGGCAACGAUGCAUAGCCGACCUGAGAGGGUGAUCGGCCACACUGGAACUGAGACACGGUCCAGACUCCUACGGGAGGCAGCAGUAGGGAAUCUUCCGCAAUGGGCGAAAGCCUGACGGAGCAACGCCGCGUGAGUGAUGAAGGUCUUCGGAUCGUAAAACUCUGUUAUUAGGGAAGAACAUAUGUGUAAGUAACUGUGCACAUCUUGACGGUACCUAAUCAGAAAGCCACGGCUAACUACGUG